Molecule: ribosomal RNA, 497 nt
Filed under: uncultured bacterium
Lineage: Bacteria
Description: partial 16S ribosomal RNA
Rfam family: Bacterial small subunit ribosomal RNA
Source: RNAcentral
GAUGAACGCUGGCGGCGUGCCUAAUACAUGCAAGUCGAGCGAACGGACGAGAAGCUUGCUUCUCUGAUGUUAGCGGCGGACGGGUGAGUAACACGUGGAUAACCUACCUAUAAGACUGGGAUAACUUCGGGAAACCGUAGCUAAUACCGGAUAAUAUUUUGAACCGCAUGGUUCAAAAGUGAAAGACGGUCUUGCUGUCACUUAUAGAUGGAUCCGCGCUGCAUUAGCUAGUUGGUAAGGUAACGGCUUACCAAGGCAACGAUGCAUAGCCGACCUGAGAGGGUGAUCGGCCACACUGGAACUGAGACACGGUCCAGACUCCUACGGGAGGCAGCAGUAGGGAAUCUUCCGCAAUGGGCGAAAGCCUGACGGAGCAACGCCGCGUGAGUGAUGAAGGUCUUCGGAUCGUAAAACUCUGUUAUUAGGGAAGAACAUAUGUGUAAAUAACUGUGCACAUCUUGACUGUACCUAAUCAGAAAGCCACGGCUAACUACGUG